AACGCAUCUUGCGCUCGCUGGUAUUCCGGCGAGCAUGCCUGUUUGAGUGUCAUGAACUCUUCAACCCUCCAAUUCCUUGUUUGAAUUGUGAGGUGCUUGGAUCUUGAACGUUUUGCUGGCCCAUCUUUGGGCGAAGCUCGUUCGUAAUACGUUAGCAACUCAAUUUCGAUUGGUUCGGAUUGACUCGGCGUAAUAGACUUUCAAUAUUCGCUGAGGACACUUCUUAGGAGGUGGCCGAAUUACGAAGUAGAAGCUUCUAACUUUGUAACUUUAAAGUCUUUAAGAUUAGACCUCAGAUCAGGCAGGACUACCCGCUGAACUUAA
This 324-nucleotide ribosomal RNA is filed under the name uncultured fungus. RNAcentral's name for it is "eukaryotic LSU rRNA". The stretch from base 1 to 52 matches the Rfam family "5.8S ribosomal RNA", at positions 103 to 154 of the family's 154-position model. The record is from RNAcentral. Lineage: Eukaryota; Fungi.